AGAGUUUGAUCAUGGCUCAGGACGAACGCUGGCGGCGUGCUUAACACAUGCAAGUCGAACGGUGACCUUGAGAGCUUGCUCUUGGGGGAGCAGUGGCGAACGGGUGAGUAACACGUGAGUAACCUGCCCCUGACUCUGGAAUAAGCGCUGGAAACGGCGUCUAAUACCGGAUACGAGAUGCCACCGCAUGGUGAGUGUCUGGAAAGUUUUUCGGUCUGGGAUGGACUCGCGGCCUAUCAGCUUGUUGGUGAGGUAAUGGCUCACCAAGGCGAUGACGGGUAGCCGGCCUGAGAGGGCGACCGGCCACACUGGGACUGAGACACGGCCCAGACUCCUACGGGAGGCAGCAGUGGGGAAUAUUGCACAAUGGGCGAAAGCCUGAUGCAGCGACGCCGCGUGAGGGAUGACGGCCUUCGGGUUGUAAACCUCUUUCAGCAGGGAAGAAGCGCAAGUGACGGUACCUGCAGAAGAAGCACCGGCUAACUACGUGCCAGCAGCCGCGGUAAUACGUAGGGUGCGAGCGUUGUCCGGAAUUAUUGGGCGUAAAGAGCUUGUAGGCGGUUUGUCGCGUCUGCUGUGAAAAUCCGGGGCUCAACCCCGGACUUGCAGUGGGUACGGGCAGACUAGAGUGUGGUAGGGGAGACUGGAAUUCCUGGUGUAGCGGUGAAAUGCGCAGAUAUCAGGAGGAACACCGAUGGCGAAGGCAGGUCUCUGGGCCACUACUGACGCUGAGAAGCGAAAGCAUGGGGAGCGAACAGGAUUAGAUACCCUGGUAGUCCAUGCCGUAAACGUUGGGAACUAGGUGUGGGUCUCAUUCCACGAGAUCCGUGCCGCAGCUAACGCAUUAAGUUCCCCGCCUGGGGAGUACGGCCGCAAGGCUAAAACUCAAGGAAUUGACGG
RNAcentral lists this ribosomal RNA (900 nucleotides) under uncultured bacterium. RNAcentral describes it as "bacterial SSU rRNA". It matches the Rfam family "Bacterial small subunit ribosomal RNA", at positions 8 to 916 of the family's 1533-position model. The record is from RNAcentral.